RNAcentral lists this unclassified non-coding RNA (250 nucleotides) under uncultured fungus. RNAcentral describes it as "sequence contains ITS2". The stretch from base 1 to 52 matches the Rfam family "5.8S ribosomal RNA", at positions 103 to 154 of the family's 154-position model. Lineage: Eukaryota; Fungi. The record is from RNAcentral.
AACGCACAUUGCGCCCUUUGGUAUUCCGAAGGGCAUGCCUGUUCGAGCGUCAUUAUCAACCAUCAAGCCUGGCUUGUCAUUGGGCUCUUAUCGGUAUUCUACAGAUAAGCCCGAAAGAUAACGGCGGUGUCGAGUCUGACUCCACGGUGCAGCGAGCUUUUUAGCAUACACCGGAUGGCUUCUCGAUCCAGUCUUUAACUAUUUUCUCAAGGUUGACCUCGGAUCAGGUAGGAAUACCCGCUGAACUUAA